GAGUUUGAUCGUGGCUCAGGACGAACGCUGGCGGCGUGCUUAACACAUGCAAGUCGCACGGGGUAGCAAUACCCAGUGGCGAACGGUGCGUAACACGUGAGGAACCUGUCCAACGGCGGGGGAUAGCCGGCCCAACGGCCGGGUAAUACCGCGUACGACCUUCGAGGGGCAUCCCUUGAUGGUGAAAGCAGCAAUGCGCCGAUGGAGGGCCUCGCGGCCUAUCAGCUAGUUGGUGAGGUAACGGCUCACCAAGGCGACGACGGGUAGCUGGUCCGAGAGGAUGACCAGCCACAUUGGGACUGAGACACGGCCCAGACUCCUACGGGAGGCAGCAGUGGGGAAUAUUGCGCAAUGGGCGAAAGCCUGACGCAGCGACGCCGCGUGUGGGAUGACGGCC
Molecule: ribosomal RNA, 397 nt
Filed under: uncultured Gemmatimonadota bacterium
Lineage: Bacteria; Pseudomonadati; Gemmatimonadota
Description: bacterial SSU rRNA
Rfam family: Bacterial small subunit ribosomal RNA
Source: RNAcentral